This 230-nucleotide ribosomal RNA is filed under the name uncultured bacterium. Its description in RNAcentral is "partial 16S ribosomal RNA". It matches the Rfam family "Bacterial small subunit ribosomal RNA", at positions 118 to 350 of the family's 1533-position model. The record is from RNAcentral.
UGGGCAACCUGCCCUCAGCUCUGGGAUAACUCCGGGAAACCGGGGCUAAUACCGGAUACGACCUUCCCUGGCAUCGGGGUUGGUGGAAAGUUCUUCGGCUGAGGAUGGGCCCGCGGCCUAUCAGCUUGUUGGUGGGGUGACGGCCUACCAAGGCGACGACGGGUAGCCGGCCUGAGAGGGCGACCGGCACACUGGGACUGGAGACACGGCCCAGACUCCUACGGGAGGCA